Molecule: ribosomal RNA, 211 nt
Filed under: Giardia duodenalis
Lineage: Eukaryota; Fornicata; Diplomonadida; Hexamitidae
Description: Giardia intestinalis partial small subunit ribosomal RNA
Source: RNAcentral
CGCUCUCCCCAAGGACGAAGCCAUGCAUGCCCGCUCACCCGGGACGCGGCGGACGGCUCAGGACAACGGUUGCACCCCCCGCGGCGGUCCCUGCUAGCCGGACACCGCUGGCAACCCGGCGCCAAGACGUGCGCGCAAGGGCGGGCGCCCGCGGGCGAGCAGCGUGACGCAGCGACGGCCCGCCCGGGCUUCCGGGGCAUCACCCGGUCGG